RNAcentral lists this ribosomal RNA (836 nucleotides) under uncultured bacterium. Its description in RNAcentral is "bacterial SSU rRNA". It matches the Rfam family "Bacterial small subunit ribosomal RNA", at positions 524 to 1360 of the family's 1533-position model. The record is from RNAcentral.
UACGGAGGGUGCAAGCGUUACCCGGAUUCACUGGGCGUAAAGGGCGUGUAGGCGGUGGCCCACGUCGGGUGUUAAAGCCCGCGGCUCAACCGCGGAAACGCACCCGAUACGGGGCCACUAGACGGCGGGAGAGGGGAGCGGAAUUCCCGGAGUAGCGGUGAAAUGCGUAGAUACCGGGAGGAACGCCGAUGGCGAAGGCAGCUCCCUGGACCGCCCGUGACGCUGAGGCGCGAAAGCGUGGGGAGCAAACCGGAUUAGAUACCCGGGUAGUCCACGCCCUAAACGUUGGGUGCUGGGUGUCGGGCCUCGGCUCGGCGCCGUAGCUAACGCGUUAAGCACCCCGCCUGGGAAGUACGGCCGCAAGGCUGAAACUCAAAGGAAUUGACGGGGACCCGCACAAGCGGUGGAGCGUGUGGUUUAAUUCGAAGCAACGCGAAGAACCUUACCAGGCCUUGACAUGCCGGGAACCCGCCCGAAAGGGUGGGGUGCCCCCUCCGGGGGAACCCGGACACAGGUGCUGCAUGGCCGUCGUCAGCUCGUGUCGUGAGAUGUUGGGUUAAGUCCCGCAACGAGCGCAACCCCCGUCCCUAGUUGCCAUCAGUCCGGCUGGGCACUCUAGGGAGACUGCCCGGGAAACCGGGAGGAAGGCGGGGAUGACGUCUGGUCAGCAUGGCCCUUACGGCCUGGGCUACACACGCGCUACAAUGGGCAGGACAAAGCGCCGCAACCCGGCAACGGGAAGCCAAUCGCUAAAACCUGCCCCCAGUUCGGAUUGGGGUCUGCAACUCGACCCCAUGAAGCCGGAAUCGCUAGUAAUCGCGGAUCAGCUACGCCGC